AUACCCCAUGAUGCUCAGGUCCGCCGCAUCUCCUGGGUCGUGGGGUCGGUCGAUCGGCGUGCAGUUUUGCGGUUCCUCGUGCCGCUUUGCAUGCCGAUCGGCCCCCUA
RNAcentral lists this small RNA (108 nucleotides) under Affinirhizobium rhizoryzae. RNAcentral describes it as "sRNA Atu_C6". It matches the Rfam family "EcpR1". Rfam says of the family: Perviously named SmelC291, SmrC10, or Sra33. According to its overproduction phenotype it was renamed Elongated Cell Phenotype RNA1. The record is from RNAcentral. Lineage: Bacteria; Pseudomonadati; Pseudomonadota; Alphaproteobacteria; Hyphomicrobiales; Rhizobiaceae. RNAcentral also lists the same sequence under 1 other name.